This 459-nucleotide ribosomal RNA is filed under the name uncultured bacterium. RNAcentral describes it as "partial 16S ribosomal RNA". It matches the Rfam family "Bacterial small subunit ribosomal RNA", at positions 338 to 795 of the family's 1533-position model. The record is from RNAcentral.
CCUACGGGAGGCUGCAGUGAGGAAUAUUGGUCAAUGGGCGGGAGCCUGAACCAGCCAAGCCGCGUGAAGGAAGCAGGCGCCAAGCGUCGUAAACUUCUUUUGUCGUGGAACAAAGGGCGCCACGUGUGGCGUUGUGCGUGUACCCGAAGAACAAGCAUCGGCUAACUCCGUGCCAGCAGCAGCGGUACUACGGGGGAUGCGAGCUUUAUCCGGAUUUAUUGGGUUGAAAGGGUACGUAGGCGGUCCGGACAGUCCGCGGUACCAGCCCGGGGCUCAACCCCGGCGAGCCGUUGAAACUGUCGGACUAGAGACGGCGAGAAGUACGCGGAAUGCGCGGUGUAGCGGUGAAAUGCAUAGAGAGCGCGCAGAACUCCGAUUGCGAAGGCAGCGUACCGGCGCCGGACUGACGCUGAGGCACGAAAGCGUGGGUAUCGAACAGGAUUAGAUACCCCUGUAGUC